UAGGGAAUCUUCCACAAUGGACGCAAGUCUGAUGGAGCAACGCCGCGUGAGUGAAGAAGGUUUUCGGACCGUAAAGCUCUGUUGUUGGUGAAGAAGGAUAGAGGUAGUAACUGGCCCUUUAUUUGACGGUAAUCAACCAGAAAGUCACGGCUAACUACGUGCCAGCAGCCGCGGUAAUCGUAGGUGGCAAGCGUUGUCCGGAUUUAUUGGGCGUAAAGCGAGCGCAGGCGGAAGAAUAAGUCUGAUGUGAAAGCCCUCGGCUUAACCGAGGAAUUGCAUCGGAAACUGUUUUUCCUUGAGUGCAGAAGAGGAGAGUAGAACUCCAUGUGUAGCGGUGGAAUGCGUAGAUAUAUGGAAGAAUACCAGUGGCGAAGGCGGCUCUCUGGUCUGCAACUGACGCUGAGGCUCGAAAGCAUGGGUAGCGAACAGGAUUAGAUACCCUUGGUAGUCCAUGCCGUAAACGAUGAGUGCUAAGUGUUGGGAGGCUUCCGCCUCUCAGUGCUGCAGCUAACGCAUUAAGCACUCCGCCUGGGGGAGUACGACCGCAAGGUUGAAAC
This 557-nucleotide ribosomal RNA is filed under the name uncultured bacterium. RNAcentral's name for it is "partial 16S ribosomal RNA". It matches the Rfam family "Bacterial small subunit ribosomal RNA", at positions 355 to 900 of the family's 1533-position model. The record is from RNAcentral.